This 253-nucleotide signal recognition particle RNA is filed under the name Callithrix jacchus (white-tufted-ear marmoset). RNAcentral describes it as "Metazoan signal recognition particle RNA (ENSCJAG00000056568.2)". It matches the Rfam family "Metazoan signal recognition particle RNA". Rfam says of the family: The signal recognition particle (SRP) is a universally conserved ribonucleoprotein. It is involved in the co-translational targeting of proteins to membranes. Lineage: Eukaryota; Metazoa; Chordata; Mammalia; Primates; Cebidae. The record is from Rfam by way of RNAcentral.
GCUGGGCAUGGUGGCGUGUGCCUGUAAUCCCAGCUACUCAGGAGGCUGAGGCAGGAGAAUUGCCUGAACCCAGGAGGGGGAGGUUGCGGUGAGACGAGAUCCCAUCACUGUACUCCGGCCAGGGCAACAGAGUGAGACUCCAUCUUUUUUUGGGAUGGAGUUUCGCUCUUGUUACCCAGGCUGGAGUGCAAUGGCGCGAUCUCGGCUCACCGCAACCUCCGCGUCCUGGGUUCAAGCAAUUCUCCUGCCUCAG